This 64-nucleotide transfer RNA is filed under the name Byctiscus populi. RNAcentral describes it as "tRNA-Arg". The record is from RNAcentral. Lineage: Eukaryota; Metazoa; Arthropoda; Insecta; Coleoptera; Attelabidae.
UAAUAAGAAGCAAACCCUUGCAUUUAGUUUCGACCUAAAAAUUUGAUACAUUUAUCCUUAUUUU